UGAUGCUAGGUUUGUCACAUGACCCGAAUCAGAGCCUAUCCUGGUUGGGUAACUCAAGUCCAACUAAGACCAGAGACCACAUCUAAUAUCCAAACCAUUGACCACCCUUCACCCCAUUUUGGAUAAAUUUCGAACAAAUAGCAAGAUGAAAUAGUAUUAAUUUGAAGACAUGAUCACAAGUCUAUAAUAAAACCGAAAUCCACAACCAAUUAACCAUCCAAUACCAACC
Molecule: long non-coding RNA, 229 nt
Filed under: Capsicum annuum
Lineage: Eukaryota; Viridiplantae; Streptophyta; Magnoliopsida; Solanales; Solanaceae
Description: long non-coding RNA (CANN_LNC016334)
Source: RNAcentral